This 305-nucleotide ribosomal RNA is filed under the name uncultured bacterium. Its description in RNAcentral is "bacterial SSU rRNA". It matches the Rfam family "Bacterial small subunit ribosomal RNA", at positions 335 to 657 of the family's 1533-position model. The record is from RNAcentral.
UUUCCUACGGGAGGCAGCAGUGGGAAUAUUGGGCAUUGGGCGCAAGCCUGACCCAGCAACGCCGCGUGAAGGAAGAAGGCUUUCGGGUUGUAAGCUUCUUUUAAGAGGGAAGAGAAGAAGACGGUACCUCUUGAAUAAGCCACGGCUAACUACGUGCCAGCAGCCGCGGUAAUACGUAGGUGGCGAGCGUUAUCCGGAAUGAUUGGGCGUAAAGGGUGCGUAGGCGGCCUGCUAAGUCUGGAGUGAAAGGUACCGGCUCAACCGGUACAGGCUCUGGAAACUGGCGGGCUAGAGAGCAGGAGAGG